ACAUUUACAAGAUAAAUUACCAUCUAGUUUGUCUUCUUUUGUAUUUUAUUUGCCCUCAACAGGCAUGUUUGGUGUUGAAGCACACUAGCAAUGUUCUGAAAUCACUUCUGGAUGAGAGGCAGAACAGAAAUCAAGUUUUAAAAUUCCAGAUUGCUUCGCUGGAGACCAGAGCGGUUUUACGGGUGCAGUCGGUCAGUGUCCGUCACCCUGGCGAUAGUCUGGACACCGGCUCUAGGAAGACCUUAAUGGAGAGCUGUGACAUUCUGCAGCAAAGCAGCAAUGAGUUCCUCACCCUUGGACACAGAGAGGAGGAGGCAGAAGCUGCUCUUCAGCAUGCAGACAUUCUGAGAAUCGUUGCGAAACGCACCGAAGACCCGGAGCUACGACGGCGCCACUCGCUGGACGCGUACCUCUCGAUGCACAAGGCCGUGUCUGUGCAGGAGGAGGUGUCCCUCUACGCUCAGAGUCUGCCUCCCCUUCAGGAGGUACAUUUUAUUCUCGCAGUUUUUAUUCUGCUUUUAAAACCGUUCUCGAUGGGUUUGCUCUUAAUAAAAACAAAAAUCUCGCGUUUUCAAGUUGCCGUUUGAGAUUUUGUUGAUGCCGCUCACUUUUAUACCUGC
RNAcentral lists this long non-coding RNA (620 nucleotides) under Scleropages formosus (Asian bonytongue). Its description in RNAcentral is "lncRNA (ENSSFOG00015028318.1)". Lineage: Eukaryota; Metazoa; Chordata; Actinopteri; Osteoglossiformes; Osteoglossidae. The record is from RNAcentral.